UCAGAACGAACGCUGGCGGCAUGGAUUAGGCAUGCAAGUUGAACGAACUCCUUCGGGAGUGAGUAGCGGAAGGGUGAGGAACGCGUGAGUAAUCUGCCCCCCAGUUGGGAAUAACAGUUGGAAACGACUGCUAAUACCGAAUGUGGCUUAAGCUUCGCCUGGAGCUUUGGCUAAAGAUUUAUCGCUGGGGGAUGAGCUCGCGUCCCAUUAGGUAGUUGGUGAGGUAACGGCUCACCAAGCCGACGAUGGGUAGCUGGUCUGAGAGGAUGGUCAGCCACACUGGGACUGAGACACUGCCCAGACUCCUACGGGAGGCUGCAGUCGAGAAUCUUGGGCAAUGCGCGAAAGCGUGACCCAAGCAAUGCCGCGUGUAUGAUGAAGGCCCUCGGGUCGUAAAGUACUGUCUCCCGUGACGAAAUUUGACGGUAGCGGGGAAGGAAGCCACGGCUAACUACGUGCCAGCAGCAGC
RNAcentral lists this ribosomal RNA (469 nucleotides) under uncultured bacterium. RNAcentral's name for it is "bacterial SSU rRNA". It matches the Rfam family "Bacterial small subunit ribosomal RNA", at positions 24 to 518 of the family's 1533-position model. The record is from RNAcentral.